RNAcentral lists this ribosomal RNA (253 nucleotides) under uncultured bacterium. Its description in RNAcentral is "partial 16S ribosomal RNA". It matches the Rfam family "Bacterial small subunit ribosomal RNA", at positions 524 to 776 of the family's 1533-position model. The record is from RNAcentral.
UACAGAGGGUGCGAGCGUUGUCCGGAAUCACUGGGCGUAAAGGGCGCGUAGGCGGUCUGCUAAGCGUGUGGUGAAAGCCCGGGGCUCAACGCCGGGUCGGCCGUGGAUACUCUCGGGCUUGAGCUUACUAGAGGCAGAUGGAAUUCCGGGUGUAGCGGUGGAAUGCGUAGAGAUCCGGAAGAACACCGGUGGCGAAGGCGGUCUGCUGGGGUAAUGCUGACACUGAUGCGCGACAGCGUGGGGAGCAAACAGG